This 153-nucleotide ribosomal RNA is filed under the name uncultured bacterium. RNAcentral's name for it is "partial 16S ribosomal RNA". It matches the Rfam family "Bacterial small subunit ribosomal RNA", at positions 338 to 508 of the family's 1533-position model. The record is from RNAcentral.
CCUACGGGAGGCAGCAGUGAGGAAUAUUGCACAAUGGAGGAAACUCUGAUGCAGCAACGCCGCGUGGAGGAUGACGCAUUUCGGUGUGUAAACUCCUUUUAUUAGGGAAGAUAAUGACGGUACCUAAUGAAUAAGCACCGGCUAACUCCGUGC